GUCGCUGCAAAAUCAGCGACUGGGUUUGGUCGCCCGGGUUUAGAAUGGCGCACGUUGCCGCGCGAGCGGCUGUCUG
This is a non-coding RNA of Pseudomonas fluorescens, 76 nucleotides long. The record is from Rfam. Lineage: Bacteria; Pseudomonadati; Pseudomonadota; Gammaproteobacteria; Pseudomonadales; Pseudomonadaceae.